Molecule: non-coding RNA, 563 nt
Organism: Struthio camelus australis
Lineage: Eukaryota; Metazoa; Chordata; Aves; Struthioniformes; Struthionidae
Source: RefSeq, a predicted model, not a curated record
GACUUGAGAGAGGAGAUGGAGUAAUGGAAAGUGAAGUGUUCUCUUGGAGUGUGAAGCUACUUACCACCAAUUCAAGGAAAGAAACUGGACAGAAAGCUGGUGCCUCCAUCUUUGUCAUGGACUUGUUCAUGAAUGAGCAUUAAACUGAAAUUGCUCUGGACCAGCUAAGGAGUUGCUAAGCAAUUGCUGUGGAUCUGCAAGUUUAUGUAUAGUUAAGAAGGGAGGACUGUGGCAUGGCCCAGGGUACUACAGUGCCUAAACUGAACUUUGAGUAUUGGUUGGAUAAAGCUACCGAGUGGGGUCAAGCCACCACUUUGGAAUCCCAGAAGGAUGUGUGCCGUCACUUGCCCCAACUGCAGGAGUUUCUACAGCAGAUUUAUGAAACUUUAAAACAUAUGAAUUCAUUUUGGCAAUCCAGCAGUUUCCUUUAAUUGGCCAGCUUCUGGGAAGGCUCUGUUGGAAUCCAUUUGUCAUAGGAUAUGAUGAAAGCCAGAAGACUCUGAUGUGGUGCUUAUGUUGUCUCUACAGCAGUGAACCACAGAAUCCUGUGGAACUGAAGGCCA